Long non-coding RNA from Oncorhynchus tshawytscha (Chinook salmon), 1013 nucleotides. Lineage: Eukaryota; Metazoa; Chordata; Actinopteri; Salmoniformes; Salmonidae. The record is from Ensembl.
CAACAACAAAAUAACAAGUUAAUCUGCUGAACGUACGAACCCAUCGCUAAGCAGACAUACCCAUCGCUAGGCGGACGAACCCAUCGCUAGGCGGACGAACCCAUCGCUAGGCGGACGAACCCAUCGCUAGGCGGACGAACCCAUCGCUAGGCGGACGAACCCAUCGCUAGGCGGACGAACCCAUCGCUAGGCAGACAUACCCAUCGCUAGGCGGACGAACCCAUCGCUAGGCGGACAUACCCAUCGCUAGGCGGACAUACCCAUCGCUAGGCGGACAUACCCAUCGCUAGGCAGACAUACCCAUCGCUAGGCGGAGGAACCCAUCGCAUGAAACAAAAAAACGCCUUCCCACUGUCCUCCAUAUACAUCCAACUCUCAAAAUUACACGACUAAUUAGCAUUUAACUGUUAUUUCCUUCAUUAGCAGGAAGCUUGGUCAGGUUUUAAUUUGAAUGUAUCAGAGCAUAAACGUGGCCUAUACAUACGGGGACCACAUUACAGCCUCAAUGAACCUCCCAGCCAAUUAAAACAGCUCGUCACAGUACCUCUACCCUGUUACUAGUGUGGCACAUCCCCGGGAUCACAGACACUAACACACACUGUCAGACAUAUACACACACUCAUACACACACUGUCAGAGACACACACACUCAUACACUAACACACACACACACACACACACACACACACUGUCAGACACACACACACUCAUACACUAACACACACACACACACACACUGUCAGACACACACACACUCAUACACUAACACACACACACACACACACACUGUCAGACAUAUACACACACUCACUAUAAUCCCCAUUCCACCUGAGGAGACAGUCUCUGUCCGUUGUUGGACAACUGAUGUCACUGCUGGUGAUGAGAACAAACAUCUUGUAAAGGAACUCCGAGACGCAGCGUCAGGCGUGGGUGUCCAAUAAUACAUAAUACACACACAGAGACACACACACACACACACACACACAGAGACACACACACACACACAUAGUCAC